GUGAAUGCACUCCAUGAAAAAGAGGGGAUGAGAGGAAGGGAAGGAGAGUGAGUAGAGGGGAAGUGGAAAGCAAAACUCCCAAUUGGAGACUAUGGAGAAGGAGAAGGAGAAGGAGAAAGAGAAGGAUUGGUUUAAUUCAAAGGAGGAAGCAUUCUCAUACUACAAAGAAUACGCCAAAUCGGUGGGUUUCUCGGCCAUCAUAAAAGCGAGUCGUCGAUCUCGAAUCUCAGGGAACUUCAUCGACGCCAAAUUCGCUUGCACGAGAUGCGGCGUCUCCAACACUCUCAAAAGAAAACGUGGCCCAACCAAAACGGAUUGCAAGGCCUGCAUGCAUGUCAAGAGAACGCACCACGGUACAUGGAUCAUCUCUUCUUUUGUUGAGCACCAUAAUCACGACACCUUCCCUUACCAUUACACCAACAAUGCAACUCCAAACACAUCAAUCUCUUCCAAAUCUAAUCAAACCAAACUGCAUAAGCAUUUCCCUUUUGCCCAUCAAGACCUUCACUCCUUGCUUCACCAUUUUAUCUCUAUGCAAGUGGAAAACCCUAACUUCUUCUACGCUGUCGAUUUCCACCACGACCAGCGUUUCAAGACCGUUUUCUGGGUCGAUGCUAAGGCCAGGCUUGAUUACAGGCAUUUCAGCGACGUGGUUCUGUUCGACACCACGCACCUCAAGAAUGACUACAAGCUUCCCUUCGUUCCCUUUCUGGGUGUGAACCAUCACUUUCAGUUCAUGUUGCUGGGAUUGGCAUUCCUGUCUGAUCAGUCCGAAUCCACGUUUGCGUGGCUCAUGCGCGCCUGGCUGAGGGCAAUGGGUGGAAUUGCUCCCAAGGUGAUUCUUACUGACCAGGAUCAAGCGCUCAAGGAGGCUGUUGCCAUGGCCAUUCCGGAUUCUUGUCAUUGUUUUUGUCUGUGGCAUGUGUUCAGUAAGGUUCCGGAGAAGCUCGGUUGCGUCAUGCAUCAGCAUGAGGAUUUUGCUGCCACGUUUAACAAGUGUGUUAUCAAGUCCAGGACAAAGGAGCAAUUUGAGAAGAGGUGGGGGGAAAUGGUUGAGAGAUUUGAUUUAGGUGAUAACGGUUGGUUGCGUUCAGUUUAUGAGGACCGCCAACGGUGGGUACCGGUAUAUAUGAAAGGCAGAGUUUUGGCAGGGAUGUCUACUGUGCAGAGAUCGGACUCUAUGAACUGUCUGUUGGACAGAUAUAUGCAGAGGAAAACAACAUUGAAGGAGUUUUUGGAGCAGUACAAAGUGGUGUUGCGUGAUAAGUGUGAAGAGGAAGCAAAAGCAGAGUUUGAAACGCUGCAUAAACAGCCGGUGUUGAAAUCGCCAUCGCCUUUUGGGAAACAGAUGGUGGAGUUAUACACGCAUGAAAUAUUUAAGAAAUUCCAGAGCGAGGUUUUGGGAGUUGUUGCUUGUCAUCCAAGAAAGGAAAGUGAGGAUGGACCGCGAAUAAUGUUUAGAGUUCAGGAUUUUGAAGACAAUCAAGAUUUUGUUGUCAUGUGGAAUGAAUUGACCUUGGAAGCUUCGUGUUCCUGUUAUUUGUUUGAAUUCAAUGGCUUUCUUUGUAGGCAUGUAAUGAUUGUGCUACAGAUUUCUGGUGUGCAUAGCAUCCCGUCUCGGUAUAUAUUGAAACGCUGGACAAAAGAUGCCAAGGGUAGAGAAACAUCAAGAGAUAUGUCAGAUGUGGUUGUCUCAAACUCAAGGGCUACGCGCUAUGAUAAUUUGUGUCAACGAGCCUUUGAGCUGGGUGAUGAAGGGUCUUUGUCACAAGAGAGUUACAUUGCUGCUGUAAAUGCGUUGGAAGAAGCUCUUAGAAAGUGUGAGAGCCUGAAGGAGUCAAUUCAGAAUGUCAUAGAACUGAAUCCACCAAUUUUUGGUUCUCAACAGACAAAUCUGAGGAAUAGUGUUGAUCAUACUAACAAAAAGAACAGUACUCUUAAGAAAAGACAGGUAAGCCCCGAACCAGAGAUCAUUGCUAUGGGAGUCAAUUCCAGCUGGCAGCAAGUGGAAAACGGAAAACCCCAAUACACGGGCAGCUGACCCUGAUUGUUCAUGUGAAUCACAGCAGAGCAUUCAAAAGAUGGAUCAGCUGAACUCAAGGCCUCAGAACCUGGAUGACUAUUUUGCUACUCAACAAAUUAGUUCAGGAAUGUUGAACUCGAUAGCUGCUAUUCGUAAUGAUUAUUACAGCAACCAGCAUGGCAUCCAAAGGCUGGGACAGUCGUACUCAAUUGCACCCAUCCAUGGUGCCCAUUACAUGGCCCCACAAAGAAUGCAUGGGAUGGUAUGGAUACCAGUAUAUGAUUGCAAUUCUAAUACAUUGUUAUUUGACAUUAAUGAUUAUUGAGGAAUAAGAAAUUUGUAAAUGAUAAGAUAUGCUGACAAUAACCAAGCUUUAUCAGACUAGAUACAGCCAGUUACAGGGAUAAACUUAAACCAUUGUACUCCAUCAAAAAUAAAAAUUAAAUGAGAGAGAGAAAAACAUAUAAUUCAAACAUUUAAUGUUUAAUUUUCAGCACCUUUGCCUGGUAAAUGAUUAUUGGUUUUAUUUACUUGUCUCUUCAUAGGAGGAAAAGACAAGAGUAUUUUACUCUUUCUUGGCUGAUUUAUCUCAAUGACACCUUGAUUUGAUCCUAAAAUUGAUGGAUUUACCUGGUAAAUAUUCUUGGUUUUAUUUGUCUCUUCAUAGAAGGGGAAAAGACAAGAAUAUUUUACUGGUUCGUGGAUGAUUUAUCUGAAAAAGACACCUUGAUUUUAUCUCAAUGACAUGUUGAUUUUAUCCUGAAAUUGAUGGGGUAAACGUUCUUGAUUUUAUUUGUCUCUUCAUAGAAGGGGAAAAGACACUGGUUCUUGAAUGAUUUAUCUCAAAGACACCUUGAUUUGACCCAAAAUUGAUGGAUGUUGAAUUAUAAUGCUUCCUGCAUUUUGGUGUGAUGAUUGUAUGACAUUUACUAUGAUGAUAAUUUUUCCCAAUACUUGUAGGCACUGUUACAUUUCAGGCAAGAAGUAAUCCCAAAUGAUUUAGAUGUUUAAGAUGGUUCACCAAAUGUGGUAGUAUAGUAGAGUCACACCCAGGAUUUUCAUAUAUUUUAUAUUUUUUUCUCCAUCCGUUUAAUUCCUUAAAACUCACUUUGUUUUGUAGGAUCAGCCUACUGGAGGAUCCACACUACUACAAGGGAUGGAGGCAAAUGUGAAACAGCUAAAUUCAAUGCACCGUUCUCAGUAGUUAGGCUAUAACUAAUUGUUUAUCAGCUCGAAUGUGUUUUAGCUAAUUUUAUGUUUUUAUUAGAAUUCUUUUUAAUCGAAAGAAAUAUAUGAUAUUGAAUGAAAUCAAGUAGGACCAGGCAUUCUUUGAUGAUCCUAGAUUGACUCCUGCUAUUUUGGCGUAGGUAGAAUUUUUGUUUCUGAACUUGUCAAAGUGCAUCAUCAUGCAAUACCAUAUCAUCAAGCAAGCAGUAUCCCUUCUAUAUGCGUUAAAGCAGCUGAUUUCCUGUAAUAACAUUUUUUACAUUUACUAAAAUGAUAACAGAUUAAUAGCUUGCUG
Molecule: RNA transcript, 3545 nt
Organism: Abrus precatorius (Indian licorice)
Lineage: Eukaryota; Viridiplantae; Streptophyta; Magnoliopsida; Fabales; Fabaceae
Gene name: protein FAR-RED ELONGATED HYPOCOTYL 3-like
Exons: 6
Source: RefSeq, a predicted model, not a curated record